This is an RNA transcript of Wyeomyia smithii (pitcher-plant mosquito), 1913 nucleotides long. It is a transcript of the gene named trans-Golgi network integral membrane protein TGN38-like, with no coding region annotated. The record is from RefSeq and is a predicted model, not a curated record. The transcript is spliced from 3 exons. NCBI's taxonomy places the organism in Eukaryota, Metazoa, Arthropoda, Insecta, Diptera, Culicidae.
UUGCUUGACAUUUUCGUCUUUUUUUGAUGUUGCUGGUAGAUCAUUAGAAUUUAGGUGUAAAAAGCAGAAAAAAAAAGAUUUUACGUAUAGAUGAAGUCAUUCGGCUUGUGGUUUACUAGUUUUGAAUCUAAGAGAUUUUAUUACUGACUAAGCGUAAUCACGCGGUAGUGCCGAAGUGUGCAAAAAAGUAAAAAUAUAAGAUAGUACCGUUUUCGAAAUCUUCCAAUACUAGAACAUCACAAUAACGGGAUUUUAAAAAAAAACAAUUUGAAGCAUAAAAUGAGGUACCCCAAAGACGAACUGAGAAUGUUUGCGGCAGUAUCACUCCUAGUAGUUAAUCUGGUAAUGAUUGUGCAGGCAACUCCAAUCGCGGAAAAUCAAACGGCUUCAGAACCGGCUAAGGAAAAUACAGAGUCCAAGACGAGUAUCGCUGAUCGAACAUAUUUUCAAAACAAAAGUAGAUUUAAUUUUUUUGAAUCAUGCGAAGGAAAUGUUACGUAUCUAAAUCAGUUGACUUGUGAAUUGUACAUCAAUCUUACUACGACGUUGAGUGAACAAAUGAAGUUAUCUAUUUCUUCAAUCGAAAAUAUGAUAUCAGAAAUUGACAAAACAGAUACUGUUUGUGGCAAUAUUUCGGAUGUAUUUGAACAGAUCGACAAACUGGAUUUUGAUAUUGGUUUCAUUAAAAAUGAGCAGGAGCAGAAAAAACGCAACAGUUUCAAUAAGCUUUGCCCUGUUGUAUGUGUCGAUAUGGUAAACGAAACUACAACAGGAGUGAAACCGAUUUGUCGUAUGUUACUCUGGGGUUUCCAACAAUUGGUGUUGGUUGAUACAAAAGUUCCUAAGGACACAAAUGAUAAACCAGCGAAAUUGGAGCAACAACCGGAAAAUCAAUACGACCACAAUAAUGCAGAGGCGAAUGCUAAUCUCAGCAAUGGUAAUCGCGAGGCGAACGCGUCAUCUAAUAAAAACGACACUAACAAAAGUUUGAUUAGACCAGAUAUCAGCAAGCAAAAAACAAUAUCAGCUGCCAAGCCGCAGCCUUCGAUUCAGUCCCUUCCAAUCAAAGAUAAACCUCAGAUUGAUGAUGCACUGGAUAAUAUAGAGGACGAGAAAGAAAAGGAGAAUAGUGACAAUAUAGGAAAUGAAGCGUUCGACACACAGGGGGAUGAUGUGGAUCGCAAUGAGUAUACCGAAGAGCAAAAUACCGAUGAUGGUGAAAAUUCUGUAGAUGAACCGCAUCCGGAACAACAGAAACUGUUGCCUGGACCGAAUGAUAGUAUUUUGGACGAUGUACAACAGCAGAUUAUUCAUGAAGAUCCGUUCUUCGAAGAAAGGGACUCGAAUUUUUUUUCGUAUUUCUUACUUCUUAUGUUCGUUUGCAUUCUAUGCUACGUUGCGUAUCACAACAAAACAAAACUAUUCGCAUUGCUGUUGGAAGGCCGAAGAGCGAACUCUGGCCGAGGUGGAUUCAGCAAAGGUCGAAAGCAUACCGCCGCAUAUCGAAAGUUAGAUUCGAACCUUGAAGAAGCGAUCACUUCUGGCGUGGCAACGAAUAACCGCUCGCCGUCGCAGAUUAUCUAUUAGACUGUAGAACUAUGCACCGCUGGUCAAUGCUUGAACCAUCGGAUACAGUGAAACAUUUUCCGCGAUAUCAGGGUGUUAUGCUCAACAGCUUCCUGUUCUGAGUUGGAAGUCAUAUUUUUGGUUGAUGCAAGCAAGUGGUUUGUUACAUUCAGUACACCAGAAGAGCAAUCAAAAUGUACAUAAGAGAUAGAAUAUAAAUCAUCGUUAAACGCUGCUCAGUGCAUCGCUCGUACGAUUAAACUGUUCUACGAGUUCAUCUACAUCGCACGAUUCUUUAGUUCACAGGCGAUUGGCAAUAUGAUACAUCUUUUUUAAAUAAAACGAAA